UAGGGAAUAUUGCACAAUGGGCGAAAGCCUGAUGCAGCAACGCCGCGUGCGCGAUGAAGGCCUUCGGGUCGUAAAGCGCUUUUCGGGGAGAAGAGGAAGGACGGUAUCCCCGGAAGAAGGAUCGGCUAACUACGUGCCAGCAGCCGCGGUAACACGUAGGAUCCGAGCGUUAUCCGAAUUCACUGGGCGUAAAGCGCGUGCAGGCGGUACGGUAAGUUGGAUGUGAAAUCUCCUGGCUCAACUAGGAGGGGACGUUCAAUACUGUCGAACUAGAGGGCGGUAGAGGGAGGUGGAAUUCCCGGUGUAGUGGUGAAAUGCGUAGAUAUCGGGAGGAACACCAGAGGCGAAGGCGGCCUCCUGGACCGCACCUGACGCUCAGACGCGAAAGCUAGGGGAGCAAACGGG
This 405-nucleotide ribosomal RNA is filed under the name uncultured Anaerolineaceae bacterium. Its description in RNAcentral is "bacterial SSU rRNA". It matches the Rfam family "Bacterial small subunit ribosomal RNA", at positions 355 to 776 of the family's 1533-position model. The record is from RNAcentral. Lineage: Bacteria; Bacillati; Chloroflexota; Anaerolineae; Anaerolineales; Anaerolineaceae.